Molecule: ribosomal RNA, 1475 nt
Filed under: Klebsiella pneumoniae
Lineage: Bacteria; Pseudomonadati; Pseudomonadota; Gammaproteobacteria; Enterobacterales; Enterobacteriaceae
Description: bacterial LSU rRNA
Rfam family: Bacterial large subunit ribosomal RNA
Source: RNAcentral
AUGGGGUGACUGCGUACCUUUUGUAUAAUGGGUCAGCGACUUAUAUUCUGUAGCAAGGUUAACCGCAUAGGGGAGCCGUAGGGAAACCGAGUCUUAACUGGGCGAAUGAGUUGCAGGGUAUAGACCCGAAACCCGGUGAUCUAUCCAUGGGCAGGUUGAAGGUUGGGUAACACUAACUGGAGGACCGAACCGACUAAUGUUGAAAAAUUAGCGGAUGACUUGUGGAUGGGGGUGAAAGGCCAAUCAAACCGGGAGAUAGCUGGUUCUCCCCGAAAGCUAUUUAGGUAGCGCCUCGUGAACUCAUCUUCGGGGGUAGAGCACUGUUUCGACUAGGGGGUCAUCCCGACUUACCAACUCGAUGCAAACUGCGAAUACCGAAGAAUGUUAUCACGGGAGACACACGGCGGGUGCUAACGUCCGUCGUGAAGAGGGAAACAACCCAGACCGCCAGCUAAGGUCCCAAAGUCAUGGUUAAGUGGGAAACGAAGUGGGAAGGCUCAGACAGCCAGGAUGUUGGCUUAGAAGCAGCCAUCAUUUAAAGAAAGCGUAAUAGCUCACUGGUCGAGUCGGCCCGCGCGGAAGAUGUAACGGGGCUAAACCAUGCACCGAAGCUGCGGCAGCGACACAAAGUGUUGUUGGGUAGGGGAGCGUUCUGUAAGCCUGCGAAGGUGUACUGUGAGGUAUGCUGGAGGUAUCAGAAGUGCGAAUGCUGACAUAAGUAACGAUAAUGCGGGUGAAAAACCCGCACGCCGGAAGACCAAGGGUUCCUGUCCAACGUUAAUCGGGGCAGGGUGAGUCGACCCCUAAGGCGAGGCUGAAAAGCGUAGUCGAUGGGAAACGGGUUAAUAUUCCCGUACUGGUGGUAACUGCGAUGGGGGAACGGAGAAGGCUAGGUUGUCCGGGCGACGGUCGUCCCGGUUCAAGCAGGUAGGCAGAGUGAUUAGGCAAAUCCGGUCACUUAAUGCUGAGAUGUGAUGACGAACCACCAAGGUGGUGAAGCAAUUGAUGCCCCGCUUCCAGGAAAAGCCUCUAAGCUUCAGGUUACCAACAAUCGUACCCCAAACCGACACAGGUGGUCAGGUAGAGAAUACUCAGGCGCUUGAGAGAACUCGGGUGAAGGAACUAGGCAAAAUGGUGCCGUAACUUCGGGAGAAGGCACGCUGGCGGUAGGUAAAGUCCCUCGCGGACGGCGCUGAAGCCAGUCGAAGAUACCAGCUGGCUGCAACUGUUUAUUAAAAACACAGCACUGUGCAAACACGAAAGUGGACGUAUACGGUGUGACGCCUGCCCGGUGCUGGAAGGUUAAUUGAUGGGGUCAGCCGUAAGGCGAAGCUCCUGAUCGAAGCCCCAGUAAACGGCGGCCGUAACUAUAACGGUCCUAAGGUAGCGAAAUUCCUUGUCGGGUAAGUUCCGACCUGCACGAAUGGCGUAAUGAUGGCCAGGCUGUCUCCACCCGAGACUCAGUGAAAUUGAAC